CACAUGACUCUCGGCAACGGAUAUCUCGGCUCUCGCAUCGAUGAAGAACGUAGCAAAAUGCGAUACCUGGUGUGAAUUGCAGAAUCCCGUGAACCAUCGAGUUUUUGAACGCAAGUUGCGCCCGAGGCCUUCUGGYCGAGGGCACGUCUGCCUGGGCGUCACG
This 163-nucleotide ribosomal RNA is filed under the name Eragrostis minor. Its description in RNAcentral is "5.8S ribosomal RNA". It matches the Rfam family "5.8S ribosomal RNA". From Rfam's summary of the family: 5.8S ribosomal RNA (5.8S rRNA) is a component of the large subunit of the eukaryotic ribosome. The record is from RNAcentral. Lineage: Eukaryota; Viridiplantae; Streptophyta; Magnoliopsida; Poales; Poaceae.